CGAAAAGCUUUUCUUCCAAUUCCCCUACCCAGAGGGUGAGAAACAGGUAAUGUGAAUGAUUUUUGAAACUGAACUCAUUUUAAUGGUCUUGCAUGAAAAUUUCUCAAAUAUGGUUGUUUUAAUACCAACAGCAACAGAAAUCAUAUAAAAUUUUUUGCUUCGGGUGCUAGCCUGUAACUUCAUGUAUACUUAACCCUUGUUGGAUUUGUUCACUAUUGUGGCCCCUAAACUUGGCACACAGACUGUACUUAAUAAAUGCUUGCUGGAUGAAGGAUGGAUGGAAGAAAGCAAGGCAAAAGGGAAGGAAACACUUGGGAAAACAGUUCGUCAGUCUGACCUGCAUAGUUCCAGACAUUGCUGGAAGCAGACAAGAUGUUACCCACAUUGGUUCUGGGACACAUGACCCAUUUACUCCAAGGAGAAAUUAUCCAUGUGGCAGGUUGGCUUAGCACCUAGACCACCAAACAAACAUUCCACCAUUCUGUUUGAGGAGCAAGCUUUUACACUAACUGUCCUCAGCACCAUUCUGAAAUGUCUUUGUCUUACUGUGCAAAGCUGGCCUAAGGAUUUUAAUACUGAAGUUCACAGUUAAGUGGAUGCUUACUGAAGAAACCAUUUGGAGUCUCGUAUAAUUUCCCAUGGUCUGGAUAUUGCCAACCCUUCAUGAUAGAGUUUAUCAUGUACUUCUCAU
Leptonychotes weddellii (Weddell seal) is the source of this 691-nucleotide long non-coding RNA. RefSeq lists it as uncharacterized. The record is from RefSeq and is a predicted model, not a curated record. NCBI's taxonomy places the organism in Eukaryota, Metazoa, Chordata, Mammalia, Carnivora, Phocidae.